GCCGGUGUGGUGGAAUAGGCAGACACAAGGGACUUAAAAUCCCUCGCCCUAAAAAGCGUACCGGUUCGACCCCGGUCACCGGCACCA
Molecule: transfer RNA, 87 nt
Filed under: Oscillospiraceae bacterium
Lineage: Bacteria; Bacillati; Bacillota; Clostridia; Eubacteriales; Oscillospiraceae
Description: tRNA-Leu
Rfam family: tRNA
About the family: Transfer RNA (tRNA) molecules are approximately 80 nucleotides in length.
Source: RNAcentral